GGCGGCAUACCCAAGUGGUAAGGGAAGCGCCUGCAAAGCGCUCAUUCCCCGGUUCGAAUCCGGGUGCCGCCUCCA
Molecule: transfer RNA, 75 nt
Filed under: Pseudomonadota bacterium
Lineage: Bacteria; Pseudomonadati; Pseudomonadota
Also listed under: 1 other name
Description: tRNA-Cys
Rfam family: tRNA
About the family: Transfer RNA (tRNA) molecules are approximately 80 nucleotides in length. Their secondary structure includes four short double-helical elements and three loops (D, anti-codon, and T loops). Further hydrogen bonds mediate the characteristic L-shaped molecular structure. tRNAs have two regions of fundamental functional importance: the anti-codon, which is responsible for specific mRNA codon recognition, and the 3' end, to which the tRNAs corresponding amino acid is attached (by aminoacyl-tRNA synthetases). tRNAs cope with the degeneracy of the genetic code in two manners: having more than one tRNA (with a specific anti-codon) for a particular amino acid; and 'wobble' base-pairing, i.e. permitting non-standard base-pairing at the 3rd anti-codon position.
Source: RNAcentral